UACGUAGGGUGCGAGCGUUGUCCGGAAUUACUGGGCGUAAAGAGCUCGUAGGUGGUUUGUCGCGUUGUCCGUGAAAACUCACAACUCAAUUGUGGGCGUGCGGGCGAUACGGGCAGACUGGAGUACUGCAGGGGAGACUGGAAUUCCUGGUGUAGCGGUGGAAUGCGCAGAUAUCAGGAGGAACACCGGUGGCGAAGGCGGGUCUCUGGGACGGUACUGACGCUGAGGCGCGAAAGCGUGGGGAGCGAACAGG
RNAcentral lists this ribosomal RNA (253 nucleotides) under uncultured bacterium. Its description in RNAcentral is "partial 16S ribosomal RNA". It matches the Rfam family "Bacterial small subunit ribosomal RNA", at positions 524 to 776 of the family's 1533-position model. The record is from RNAcentral.